GACGUAGGAUGCGAGCGUUGUCCGGAUUUAUUGGGCGUAAAGAGUUCGUAGGUGGUUUGUUAAGUUUGGUGUUAAAGAUCGGGGCUCAACCCUGGGACUGCACUGAAUACUGGCAGACUCGAGUGUGGUAGAGGCUAGUGGAAUUCCCAGUGUAGCGGUGAAAUGCGUAGAUAUUGGGAAGAACACCGGUGGCGUAGGCGACUAGCUGGGCCAUAACUGACGCUGAGGAACGAAAGCCAGGGGAGCGAAUGGG
RNAcentral lists this ribosomal RNA (253 nucleotides) under uncultured bacterium. RNAcentral's name for it is "partial 16S ribosomal RNA". It matches the Rfam family "Bacterial small subunit ribosomal RNA", at positions 524 to 776 of the family's 1533-position model. RNAcentral also lists the same sequence under 1 other name. The record is from RNAcentral.